GUUUUUAAUUCUAUAAGCCUGUAUGCGUCCAGUGCUGGACAGAUGCCUUUUCAAGAGCGCACCUCCAAA
This is a long non-coding RNA of Maniola jurtina (meadow brown), 69 nucleotides long. RefSeq lists it as uncharacterized. NCBI's taxonomy places the organism in Eukaryota, Metazoa, Arthropoda, Insecta, Lepidoptera, Nymphalidae. The transcript has 4 exons. The record is from RefSeq and is a predicted model, not a curated record.